This is a small nuclear RNA of Oryctolagus cuniculus (rabbit), 103 nucleotides long. The record is from Ensembl. NCBI's taxonomy places the organism in Eukaryota, Metazoa, Chordata, Mammalia, Lagomorpha, Leporidae.
GUGCUCACCUUGGCAGCACAUAUAUUAAAAUGGAACAGUGCAGAGAUUAGCAUGGCCCCUGCACAAGGGUGACAUGCAAAUUUGUGAAGCAUUCCAUAUUUUU